Molecule: transfer RNA, 69 nt
Filed under: Pampus cinereus
Lineage: Eukaryota; Metazoa; Chordata; Actinopteri; Scombriformes; Stromateidae
Description: tRNA-Phe
Rfam family: tRNA
About the family: Transfer RNA (tRNA) molecules are approximately 80 nucleotides in length. Their secondary structure includes four short double-helical elements and three loops (D, anti-codon, and T loops). Further hydrogen bonds mediate the characteristic L-shaped molecular structure. tRNAs have two regions of fundamental functional importance: the anti-codon, which is responsible for specific mRNA codon recognition, and the 3' end, to which the tRNAs corresponding amino acid is attached (by aminoacyl-tRNA synthetases). tRNAs cope with the degeneracy of the genetic code in two manners: having more than one tRNA (with a specific anti-codon) for a particular amino acid; and 'wobble' base-pairing, i.e. permitting non-standard base-pairing at the 3rd anti-codon position.
Source: RNAcentral
GCUAACGUAGCUUAAUUCAAAGCGCAACACUGAAGAUGUUGAGAUGGGCCCUAAAAAGCCCCGCAGACA